RNAcentral lists this ribosomal RNA (492 nucleotides) under uncultured bacterium. Its description in RNAcentral is "partial 16S ribosomal RNA". It matches the Rfam family "Bacterial small subunit ribosomal RNA", at positions 29 to 507 of the family's 1533-position model. The record is from RNAcentral.
AGUGAACGCUGGCGGUAGGCCUAACACAUGCAAGUCGAACGGCAGCACAGUAAGAGCUUGCUCUUACGGGUGGCGAGUGGCGGACGGGUGAGGAAUACAUCGGAAUCUACUUUUUCGUGGGGGAUAACGUAGGGAAACUUACGCUAAUACCGCAUACGACCUACGGGUGAAAGCAGGGGAUCUUCGGACCUUGCGCGAUUGAAUGAGCCGAUGUCGGAUUAGCUAGUUGGCGGGGUAAAGGCCCACCAAGGCGACGAUCCGUAGCUGGUCUGAGAGGAUGAUCAGCUACACUGGAACUGAAAGACGGUCCAGACUCCUACGGGAUGCAGCAGUGGGGAAUAUUGGACAAUGGGCGCAAGCCUGAUCCAGCCAUACCGCGUGGGUGAAGAAGGCCUUCGGGUUCUAAAGCCCUUUUGUUGGGAAAGAAAAGCAGCAGGUUAAUACCCCGCUGUUCUGACGGUACCCAAAGAAUAAGCACCGGCUAACUUCGUG